GUUAAUCGAAGGUGAUAACCAUCUUUCGGCGCCGCACUGUACUAAACUAACUAAAGUGGGGGAUAGUGAGGGGAUAAAUUUCCUUAAGGAACUCGGCAAAAUCCCAAUGGCCCACCAGGGCAUAUAUUGGAACACGGGCCUCGACUGUUUACCAAAAACAUAGCCCUCGGCCAAUAUGAAAAUAGAAGUAUGGAGGGUGAGGCCUGCCCAAUGGUUGUAUCUAAAAGCGGUUGAUAAAAGUCGACCGCGUAAGGACAAUUGAAUGGCCGCGGUAACACUGACCGUGAUAAUGUAGCGUAAUCAAUAGCCAAUUAAUUGUUGGCCAGUAUGAAUGGCGCCACGAAGGCCCCACUGUCUUAAGGAAAUUCCCAGUGAAAUUGAAUUCGUAGUGAAGAUGCUACGUCCAAUUUGUUAGACGAAAAGACCCCGUUGAGCUUUACUGGGGCACUUACACGGCCCCGGCCUUCAAGACUGGGUUGAUAAGCCAAGGCUUACCAUACCUAGGGACCGGCCGAAUUUAAAUGGGCGGCUUAGACUAUGUGGCAGCCCCCCCCGUCGGGGCAGAUGAAACCCCACUCCCCCAUGUCAAAGGGGCUAACCCCCCCCCUUGGGGGGGACAGUGUAAGUAGGACAGUUUGGUUGGGGCGACCGCCUUUUAGAGAGUAACGAAGGUGCGCUUAAGGUGCGUAAUUAAUGACUGAAGCCUGACUGCGAGGGGGACACCCCGAGCAGACACCCCCAAGCCCGCCCUCGCCUUCGUACCAACGGAGGGAGGGCGGCGGUGGGGUGGGCCAUAGUGACCCGUUAAUUUAGAGUGGAAUAGUUAACGAUCAACGAAUAAAAGUUACCACGGGGAUAACAGCGUAAUAUCGUUAGAGAGUUCACAUCGACGACGAUGUUUGC
This 903-nucleotide ribosomal RNA is filed under the name Parazoanthus axinellae. RNAcentral describes it as "partial 16S ribosomal RNA". It matches the Rfam family "Bacterial large subunit ribosomal RNA", at positions 1607 to 2521 of the family's 2925-position model. The record is from RNAcentral. Lineage: Eukaryota; Metazoa; Cnidaria; Anthozoa; Zoantharia; Parazoanthidae.